AAACGACUCUCGGCAACGGAUAUCUCGGCUCUUGCAUCGAUGAAGAACGUAGCGAAAUGCGAUACUUGGUGUGAAUUGCAGAAUCCCGUGAACCAUCGAGUCUUUGAACGCAAGUUGCGCCUGAAGCCAUUAGGCCAAGGGCACGCCUGCCUGGGUGUCACA
RNAcentral lists this ribosomal RNA (162 nucleotides) under Swartzia guatemalensis. RNAcentral describes it as "5.8S ribosomal RNA". It matches the Rfam family "5.8S ribosomal RNA". From Rfam's summary of the family: 5.8S ribosomal RNA (5.8S rRNA) is a component of the large subunit of the eukaryotic ribosome. It is transcribed by RNA polymerase I as part of the 45S precursor that also contains 18S and 28S rRNA. The record is from RNAcentral. Lineage: Eukaryota; Viridiplantae; Streptophyta; Magnoliopsida; Fabales; Fabaceae. RNAcentral also lists the same sequence under 1 other name.